CCGGUACUCCGAAUGCAUCUAGAUUUUAGUUUGAUCAUGGCUCAGGACGAACGCUGGCGGCGUGCCUAAUACAUGCAAGUCGAGCGGUCCCUUCGGGGAUAGCCGGCGGACGGGUGAGUAACACGUAGGCAACCUGCCUGUAAGACUGGGAUAACUAUCGGAAACCGAUAGCUAAGACCGGAUAGCUGGUUCUCUCGCAUGAGAGGAUCAUGAAACACGGGGUAACCUGUGGCUUACAGAUGGGCCUGCGGCGCAUUAGCUAGUUGGUAGGGUAACGGCCUACCAAGGCGACAGAUAGCGUAGCCGACCUGAGAGGGUGAUCGGCCACACUGGGACUGAGACACGGCCCAGACUCCUACGGGAGGCAGCAGUAGGGAAUCUUCCGCAAUGGACGCAAAUCUGACGGAGCAACGCCGCGU
This 419-nucleotide ribosomal RNA is filed under the name uncultured bacterium. RNAcentral's name for it is "bacterial SSU rRNA". It matches the Rfam family "Bacterial small subunit ribosomal RNA", at positions 1 to 402 of the family's 1533-position model. The record is from RNAcentral.